UGGGGAAUAUUGGACAAUGGGCGCAAGCCUGAUCCAGCCAUGCCGCGUGUGUGAAGAAGGCCUUAGGGUUGUAAAGCACUUUCAGUGGGGAGGAAGGGUGUUGUGUUAAUAGCACAGCAUUUUGACGUUACCCACAGAAGAAGCACCGGCUAACUCCGUGCCAGCAGCCGCGGUAAUACGGAGGGUGCAAGCGUUAAUCGGAAUUACUGGGCGUAAAGCGCACGCAGGCGGCUUUUUAAGUCGGAUGUGAAAAGCCCCGGGGCUCAACCUGGGAAUUGCAUCUGAUACUGGGAAGCUAGAGUAUGUGAGAGGGGGGUAGAAUUCCAAGUGUAGCGGUGAAAUGCGUAGAGAUUUGGAGGAAUACCAGUGGCGAAGGCGGCCCCCUGGCACAAUACUGACGCUCAGGUGCGAAAGCGUGGGGAGCAAAACAGGAUUAGAUACCCUGGUAGUCCACGCCGUAAACGAUGUCUACUAGAUGUUCGUGGUCUUGUACCGUGAGUAUCGCAGCUAACGCAUUAAGUAGACCGCCUGGGGAGUACGGUCGCAAGAUUAAAACUUAAAUGAAUUGACGGGGUCAUAGCUGUUUCCU
RNAcentral lists this ribosomal RNA (589 nucleotides) under uncultured bacterium. RNAcentral's name for it is "partial 16S ribosomal RNA". It matches the Rfam family "Bacterial small subunit ribosomal RNA", at positions 355 to 1375 of the family's 1533-position model. The record is from RNAcentral.